Molecule: long non-coding RNA, 388 nt
Organism: Zophobas morio
Lineage: Eukaryota; Metazoa; Arthropoda; Insecta; Coleoptera; Tenebrionidae
Exons: 2
Source: RefSeq, a predicted model, not a curated record
UUGUUUUAAGACCAGAUGGUAUGAAAGCAAGAUCCAGUUUUUUUUUUGGUUGUGUUCUUACGGAUUUUAAAAGAACUUCCUGGUGAGUUAUAGCUGGCACACCCCCAGAAAGUCAUUAUAAAUAGCGUAGAACCUAAUUUGGACGUCAGUGUUUACCACAGAUUAAACCAAUACACUAUUUCAAAAUGUUCAAACUUUUCGUCUUUUUGGCUCUUGUAGCUCUCGCUUUGGCUGCGCCUAGACCGGAACCCCAAAUUCUGGGAACUAGUCUGUAUGGAGGUUACGCAGGAAUCGCCGGUUACACUGGUUUAGGAUAUGCCCCAUACUCCUAUGGAUUAGGCUACAUCUAAUUGUUACGAAAAUAUAAAUAAAAUUUAAAUAGCAAAUA